GACGAACGCUGGCGGCGUGCUUAACACAUGCAAGUCGAACGGGAUUAGGGGCUUGCUCCUAAUCUAGUGGCGCACGGGUGAGUAACGCGUAGAUAAUCUGCCUGAUGAUCCGGGAUAACACUUCGAAAGAGGUGCUAAUACCGGAUAUGCCCACGGGUUCUUUGGAAUCUGCGGGAAAAGGGGGGGACCUUCGGGCCUUCUGUCAUCAGAUGAGUCUGCGUACCAUUAGCUAGUUGGUAGGGUAAAGGCCUACCAAGGCGACGAUGGUUAGCUGGUCUGCGAGGACGAUCAGCCACACUGGAACGGAGACACGGUCCAGAGUCCUACGGGAGGCAGCAGUGGGGAAUUUUGCGCAAGGGGCGAAAGCCUGACGCAGCAACGCCGCGUGAGUGAUGAAGGCUUUCGGGUCGUAAAGCUCUGUCAAUGGGAAAGAAGUGUACGAGGGCUAAUAUCCUUUGUACUUGACGGUACCCAUAAAGGAAGCACCGGCUAACUCCGUGCCAGCCGCCGCCGUAA
RNAcentral lists this ribosomal RNA (516 nucleotides) under uncultured bacterium. RNAcentral's name for it is "partial 16S ribosomal RNA". It matches the Rfam family "Bacterial small subunit ribosomal RNA", at positions 28 to 523 of the family's 1533-position model. The record is from RNAcentral.